GUUCUUGAAACUUAAAAAAUUUGGCGGUAUUUUAGUCUAUCCAGAGGAACCUGUUUUGUAAUCGAUAAUCCACGAUGGACCUUACUUAAAUUUGUAAUCAGUUUAUAUACCGUCGUUAUCAGAAUAUUUUAUAAGAAUAAUAAUAUUCAAUAAUUUUUAUUAAAAUUUAUAUCAGAUCAAGGUGUAGCUUAUAUUUAUGUAAUAAUGGGUUACAAUAAAUUUAUUUAAACGAAUAAAACUAUGAAAAAGUUUUUGAAGGUGGAUUUGGUUGUAAAAUUAUAAAGAUUAAUAAUUUGAUUUUAGCUCUAAAAUAUGUACACAUCGCCCGUCGCUCUUAUUAAUAAGGUAAGAUAAGUCGUAACAUAGUAGAUGUACUGGAAAGUGUAUCUAGAAUGA
RNAcentral lists this ribosomal RNA (396 nucleotides) under Drosophila fascioloides. RNAcentral describes it as "partial 12S ribosomal RNA". The record is from RNAcentral. Lineage: Eukaryota; Metazoa; Arthropoda; Insecta; Diptera; Drosophilidae.